RNAcentral lists this ribosomal RNA (166 nucleotides) under Damrongia purpureolineata. RNAcentral's name for it is "5.8S ribosomal RNA". It matches the Rfam family "5.8S ribosomal RNA". Rfam says of the family: 5.8S ribosomal RNA (5.8S rRNA) is a component of the large subunit of the eukaryotic ribosome. It is transcribed by RNA polymerase I as part of the 45S precursor that also contains 18S and 28S rRNA. Lineage: Eukaryota; Viridiplantae; Streptophyta; Magnoliopsida; Lamiales; Gesneriaceae. The record is from RNAcentral.
AUAUAACGACUCUCGGCAACGGAUAUCUCGGCUCUCGCAUCGAUGAAGAACGUAGCGAAAUGCGAUACUUGGUGUGAAUUGCAGAAUCCCGUGAACCAUCGAGUCUUUGAACGCAAGUUGCGCCCGAAGCCAUCUGGUUGAGGGCACGUCUGCCUGGGCGUCACGC